RNAcentral lists this ribosomal RNA (253 nucleotides) under uncultured bacterium. RNAcentral's name for it is "partial 16S ribosomal RNA". It matches the Rfam family "Bacterial small subunit ribosomal RNA", at positions 524 to 776 of the family's 1533-position model. The record is from RNAcentral.
UACAGAGGGGGCUAGCGUUGUUCGGAAUCACUGGGCGUAAAGCGCGUGUAGGCGGCUUGACAAGUCAGGUGUGAAAUCCCAGGGCUUAACCCUGGAACUGCACUUGAAACUGUCAGGCUGGAGUACGGUAGGGGAUAGUGGAAUUCCUAGUGUAGAGGUGAAAUUCGUAGAUAUUAGGAGGAACACCGAUGGCGAAGGCAGCUAUCUGGGCCGUUACUGACGCUGAGACGCGAAAGCGUGGGGAGCAAACAGG